UACAGAGGUCUCAAGCGUUGUUCGGAUUCAUUGGGCGUAAAGGGUGCGUAGGCGGCGCGGUAAGUCGGGUGUGAAAUUUCGAGGCUUAACUUCGAAGCUGCAUUCGAUACUGCCGUGCUUGAGGACUGGAGAGGAGACUGGAAUUUACGGUGUAGCGGUGAAAUGCGUAGAUAUCGUAAGGAAGACCAGUGGCGAAGGCGGGUCUCUGGACAGUUCCUGACGCUGAGGCACGAAGGCCAGGGGAGCGAACGGG
RNAcentral lists this ribosomal RNA (253 nucleotides) under uncultured bacterium. RNAcentral's name for it is "partial 16S ribosomal RNA". It matches the Rfam family "Bacterial small subunit ribosomal RNA", at positions 524 to 776 of the family's 1533-position model. The record is from RNAcentral.